GACGAACGCUGGCGGCGUGCUUAACACAUGCAAGUCGAACGGAAAGGCCCAGCUUUUUGGGUGCUCGUGUGGGGAGCGGGCGAGUGACACGCGGGUGGAAUACCUCCCUCUACGGGUUAAAUAUGGGCGAGAAAGUGGAGUACAUGCUAGGGAAAAUUUUGAGCCUCGGUUGUGGAAAGUUUUUUCCGGUCGUGCUGUGACUUAUGCUUAGCAGCUUGUUGGUUGGGUAAGUUGGUACCAAGGCGUCGUCGGGUAGCCGGCCUGCGUGGGUGGACGGCGACAUUGGGACUGAGAUACGGCCCAGACUCCUACGGGAGGCAGCAGUGGGGAAUAUUGCACAAUGGGCGCAAGCCUGAUGCAGCGACGCCGCGUGGGGGAUGACGGCCUUCGGGUUGUAAACCUCUUUCGACAGGGACGAAGCUUUGGUGACGGUACCUGUAUAAGAAGCACCGGCUAACUACGUG
RNAcentral lists this ribosomal RNA (464 nucleotides) under uncultured bacterium. RNAcentral describes it as "partial 16S ribosomal RNA". It matches the Rfam family "Bacterial small subunit ribosomal RNA", at positions 28 to 507 of the family's 1533-position model. The record is from RNAcentral.